Molecule: ribosomal RNA, 543 nt
Filed under: uncultured archaeon
Lineage: Archaea
Description: bacterial SSU rRNA
Rfam family: Archaeal small subunit ribosomal RNA
Source: RNAcentral
CACGUAGUCAACCUGCCCUGGAGACAAGGACAACCCCGGGUAAACUGGGAUUAAUCCUUGAUAGGUCAUCUCAUCCGGAAGGAGAGAUGGCUUAAAGGGGUACGCGGGCUUCUUCCGCGAAUUCGCUCCAGGAUGGGACUGCGUCCGAUCAGGCUGUUGGCGGGGUAAUGGCCCACCAAACCUGUAACCGGUACGGGCCUUGAGAGAGGUGGCCCGGAGAUGGACACUGAGAGAAGGGUCCAGGUCCUACGGGGCGCAGCAGGCGCGAAACCUUCGCAAUGCGCGAAAGCGUGACGAGGUUAAUCCGAGUGACUUCCGCUGAGGAGGUCUUUUGUCAGCUGUAAAUAGGCGGGCGAAUAAGGGGAGGGCAAGCCUGGUGUCAGCCGCCGCGGUAAUACCAGCUCCUCGAGUGGUCGGGGCGAUUAUUGGGCCUAAAGCAUCCGUAGCCGGUUCCGUAGGUCCUCUGUUAAAUCCAACUGCUUAACAGUUGACCUGCAGAGGAUACCGCGGNACUAGGAAGNCGGGAGAGGCGGACGGUACUCC